UAUCACUCCAUCAAUCUCCAGUUGCCCCACAAGGUGAGGAUUCAAGACAUAUUGUACUUGCGUUGCACUCUGAGCAAGGGUACGCUGCGUUUUCACGUUUCCACAUGGGCUUUCUACUCUUUGGCAACCGUAGGUCUCUAACAAUUAGAACUCUCCGCUUCAUGAAUCCAGUUAUAC
Long non-coding RNA from Ornithodoros turicata, 177 nucleotides. RefSeq lists it as uncharacterized. The record is from RefSeq and is a predicted model, not a curated record. Lineage: Eukaryota; Metazoa; Arthropoda; Arachnida; Ixodida; Argasidae. The transcript has 3 exons.